RNAcentral lists this ribosomal RNA (429 nucleotides) under Chloroflexota bacterium. Its description in RNAcentral is "Chloroflexi bacterium partial 16S ribosomal RNA". It matches the Rfam family "Bacterial small subunit ribosomal RNA", at positions 355 to 776 of the family's 1533-position model. The record is from RNAcentral. Lineage: Bacteria; Bacillati; Chloroflexota.
UGGGGAAUAUUGCACAAUGGGCGCAAGCCUGAUGCAGCCAUGCCGCGUGUAUGAAGAAGGCCUUCGGGUUGUAAAGUACUUUCAGCGGGGAGGAAGGGAGUAAAGUUAAUACCUUUGCUCAUUGACGUUACCCGCAGAAGAAGCACCGGCUAACUCCGUGCCAGCAGCCGCGGUAAUACGGAGGGUGCAAGCGUUAAUCGGAAUUACUGGGCGUAAAGCGCACGCAGGCGGUUUGUUAAGUCGGAUGUGAAAUCCCCGGGCUCAACCUGGGAACUGCAUUCGAAACUGGCAGGGUAGAGUCUUGUAGAGGGGGGUAGAAUUCCAGGUGUAGCGGUGAAAUGCGUAGAGAUCUGGAGGAAUACCGGUGGCGAAGGCGGCCCCCUGGACAAAGACUGACGCUCAGGUGCGAAAGCGUGGGGAGCAAACAGG